GAUGAACGCUGGCGGCGUGCCUAAUACAUGCAAGUCGAGCGAACAGACGAGGAGCUUGCUCCUCUGACGUUAGCGGCGGACGGGUGAGUAACACGUGGAUAACCGACCUAUAAGACUGGGAUAACUUCGGGAAACCGGAGCUAAUACCGGAUAAUAUAUUGAACCGCAUGGUUCAAUAGUGAAAGCCGGUUUUGCUGUCACUUAUAGAUGGAUCCGCGUCGCAUUAGCUAGUUGGUAAGGUAACGGCUUACCAAGGCAACGAUGCGUAGCCGACCUGAGAGGGUGAUCGGCCACACUGGAACUGAGACACGGUCCAGACUCCUACGGGAGGCAGCAGUAGGGAAUCUUCCGCAAUGGGCAAAAGCCUGACGGAGCAACGCCGCGUGAGUGAUGAAGGUCUUCGGAUCGUAAAACUCUGUUAUUAGGGAAGAACAAAUGUGUAAGUAACUAUGCACGUCUUGACGGUACCUAAUCAGAAAGCCACGGCUAACUACGUG
RNAcentral lists this ribosomal RNA (497 nucleotides) under uncultured bacterium. RNAcentral describes it as "partial 16S ribosomal RNA". It matches the Rfam family "Bacterial small subunit ribosomal RNA", at positions 28 to 507 of the family's 1533-position model. The record is from RNAcentral.